AUGAAAUAUGUCAGCUUAAAAUUCCGAGGGCGGAACGAGGAUUGUGUGGCUUGGCGCUACGAGAAAUCUGGAGUGUUCACGGUUAAAAGUGCAUAUAAGCUAGUAGACUCGCUCGGAAGAAAUAGUACACUACUGGCGACUAGCUCCUCGAGCGAUCCGGGAGACCGAAGUAUUUGGGAUGCCAUUUGGAAAGCUAAUGUACCAGAAAAGGUAAAAAUCUUGGGAUGGAGAGUGGCUACCAAAACUCUGGCUACCAAGCAUAAUACCUUCAGAAGGACCAUCACUGAAGAUAACAUUUGUGAAAUCUGUGGAGCAGAGAGGGAAGAUGAGAACCACGCUGUUAUUUCAUGCACUAGGAGUGUGGCACUAAGACAUGCAUUGAGGGAUGUGUGGGAUCUGCUAAAGGUCUUGGAGUUCAGAUUUACAGGGCCAGAUUGGCUGCAAUUGCUACUGCUAGCAAACCCCAAGGAAGUCAGGGGCAAGAUUUUGUUAAUGAUGUGGCAGGCAUGGAAUCUGAGGAAUAAUGUAGUACAUGGGGAUGGAAAGGGUACAGUUACAGGAUCAGUGCAGUAUCUUAUGAGGUUACAAGAUGAAUUGCUGGUAGCUGCAUGUGGUCUGAGGGAGCAUUCGGACAACGGCAAAGUGUCACUACACCCUGCUAAACUGGAAGCGACAGUCCCCCUGGCUCCUAGUCAUUGGAUAGCUCCCCCGCUAGGAAUGGCCAAGUUGAAUUCUGAUGCGGCUUUCAUAGGAGAGACGGGAGACACAUGGGGUGGCGGUGUGGCCAGAGAUCACUUGGGGCGUGUUUUCAUGUCCAUUGGAAGGCGCCUGAACCGGUGCAGUUCAGUGGAGGAAGCAGAAGGGGCUGCAGCGCUGCUAGGCUUGACUGAAUUUGCGAAACGUUAUAGAGGUCAGGUAAUACUAGAGACUGACUGCAUGUGUAUCGGUCGGGAGCUGCAGGGGCAUGCAAAGUAG
RNAcentral lists this ribosomal RNA (975 nucleotides) under Triticum aestivum (bread wheat). RNAcentral's name for it is "partial small subunit ribosomal RNA". The record is from RNAcentral. Lineage: Eukaryota; Viridiplantae; Streptophyta; Magnoliopsida; Poales; Poaceae.